GUGCUCGCUUCAGCAGCACAUAUGCUAAGACGGGAACAAUACAGAGGAGAUGAGCAUGGCUCCCGUGCAAGGAUGACACGCAAAUUCAUGACGCGUUCCAUGGUUUU
Molecule: small nuclear RNA, 107 nt
Organism: Capra hircus (goat)
Lineage: Eukaryota; Metazoa; Chordata; Mammalia; Artiodactyla; Bovidae
Source: Ensembl